AUUGAAUUCAGCACUGCUUGGCAGACCUCCAACUUUACACAGUACCUGGGUUCCACCUAGAGAGGGUGCCAGCCCUCUCUGCUCUGCUCGGCGCCCCUCCUCUGUCUGCAUCCCCAGGACCACCCUUGGUGGAGAGGGCAGAAAUUGGGGAGCACCUGUGGGAGGCUCUAAUCCUGGCCCUGGGCCCUGGUGGUGACAGUGAUGAGGACCUGGGUGCACCUGUGAGUGGAGCAGCUAGGCCUGGCCAGAGAAGCAAGACAAACACACCCAUAUGUACACACACACACACACACACGCAUACACAAACACAAUGCAUGCACACAUGUCAGUUCAGGGGAUAGAGGACACUGACUCUGGGCCCUCUUGACCCAAGCAGGCUCCUGUUGUGGUGGGUUGUGUCAUCCCACGAUGUCACUCUUGCUGAGUCCCCAUCGCCUCUGUGUUUUGGAGCAGUUAGAGACACACAGCAGUCUCUGUGAGUGGCUCUGCGUGAAGGAUUGUUUUCUAGGUGAGAUGCACAUCUCAACACAGCUGACUGCUCAGACUCAGCAAUUCCAUUCUGCAUCUCCUCUGGACACCCCCAGGACCACCAGGACAACCC
This 601-nucleotide long non-coding RNA is filed under the name Pan troglodytes (chimpanzee). RNAcentral's name for it is "long non-coding RNA NONPTRT017451". The record is from RNAcentral. Lineage: Eukaryota; Metazoa; Chordata; Mammalia; Primates; Hominidae.